This 465-nucleotide ribosomal RNA is filed under the name Vreelandella stevensii. RNAcentral's name for it is "partial 16S ribosomal RNA". It matches the Rfam family "Bacterial small subunit ribosomal RNA", at positions 338 to 795 of the family's 1533-position model. The record is from RNAcentral. Lineage: Bacteria; Pseudomonadati; Pseudomonadota; Gammaproteobacteria; Oceanospirillales; Halomonadaceae.
CCUACGGGUGGCAGCAGUGGGGAAUAUUGGACAAUGGGGGGAACCCUGAUCCAGCCAUGCCGCGUGUGUGAAGAAGGCCCUCGGGUUGUAAAGCACUUUCAGUGAGGAAGAACGCCUGGUGGUUAAUACCCAUCAGGAAAGACAUCACUCACAGAAGAAGCACCGGCUAACUCCGUGCCAGCAGCCGCGGUAAUACGGAGGGUGCGAGCGUUAAUCGGAAUUACUGGGCGUAAAGCGCGCGUAGGUGGCUUGAUAAGCCGGUUGUGAAAGCCCCGGGCUCAACCUGGGAACGGCAUCCGGAACAGUCAAGCUAGAGUGCAGGAGAGGAAGGUAGAAUUCCCGGUGUAGCGGUGAAAUGCGUAGAGAUCGGGAGGAAUACCAGUGGCGAAGGCGGCCUUCUGGACUGACACUGACACUGAGGUGCGAAAGCGUGGGUAGCAAACAGGAUUAGAUACCCGGGUAGUC